AUAAAUAUUGUUCUCAUAGCACAACAUAAUAAAAGGUUCACCAACAAAGGCAUAAAUAUUGUUCUCAUAACACAAGAUAAUAAAAGGUUCACCAACAAAGGCAUAAAUAUUGUUCUCAUAGCACAACAUAAUAAAAGGUUCACCAACAAAGGCAUAAAUAUUGUUCUCAUAGCACAACAUAAUAAUAGGUUCACCAACAUAGGCAUAAAUAUUGUUCCCAUCGCUCCAAGAUAAUAAAAGGUUCACCAACAAAGGCAUAAAUAUUGUUCUCAUAGCACAACAUAAUAAUAGGUUCACCAACAUAGGCAUAAAUAUUGUUCCCAUCGCCCAAGAUAAGAUGUAACGAACUAGUUGCCAUACUUGAGGUCAAACCUCCUACGCAACCAACCCAUUCUAGAGUCGGAUGUCAUGUGCAAGAACAUUUCCCUUCGCUCUUUCUUCAGAAAGAGCUCAGUAGCAAUGAAGUGCUCAUCAGUGCCAUCUAUUGCGCCACAAGCACGAACUAAAUCCAUGGUAGAUGCAACAGAGGUGGUCUCAUCUUUCUGUAGGAAAGACUAAAAUGAUGUAUGCGAAGCAUGUGCAAUGGAACUAAUCUUUUUUAUCUCCUCUUGCAUCACUUGUGCAGUCUUUGGUUUCUUGUUCUUCUCCGGAAUCUUGACCCCAAGCCUCACUUUAGAUGCACUAGCUAUUGUCGGAGAUGCUUGCUCUUCGGUAUCAUCCUCCAAAUCAAGAUCGGUGAUUUCAUCAACAUUCAANNNN
This 759-nucleotide long non-coding RNA is filed under the name Triticum aestivum (bread wheat). RNAcentral's name for it is "long non-coding RNA (TAES_LNC003876)". The record is from RNAcentral. Lineage: Eukaryota; Viridiplantae; Streptophyta; Magnoliopsida; Poales; Poaceae.